AACAAAAUCCUCCUACAGUGGCUUUCUGUUGCUAAAUCCUUACGCUGGGCCUGGAUACCCAACCAUACCUUCGAUCUCCAACGUACUCUAAAUCCCCAUCUUCAAUCUAGGUCGAGUUUUGAAAUUUGAAUACUGUUGCUGCUGAUUUUUCUGUGUAUAAUCUCAGUUUCAAUCGACUCAGAGACACUAUCGGAUCUAACCGUUCUCUCCAGCAGUGGCUUUCGCUCCACCAAUUUGUCAUUGAUUUCCCUGCACUUCGUGUUAUCAAGUGCGACUUUCACUUAGCUAUCACUCCCAAAGAUUACGUGUUUUGCCUGGAAUUACUUAGUAGCUUGACAUGGGAAAAGAACAAUCCCAGCCUCCUUGCCAAACAGAUGUGGAUCCAGAUAGAAUCAGUUGCUUACCAGAUCAUGUAAUAGAUCAAAUUCUCUCAUAUUUGCCGAUUAGGAAGCAGUGGGAACAAGUAUUUUAUCCAGAACAUGGAGGUACAAAUGGGCCACACUACCAAAUCUCCGGUUUUUUUACAUUGAAGGUAAUUUUGAGGAUAUUAGCUUUGAGAACACUUUCCGAUUGGCUGUGGUAUCCAUUGGUUUGGAUGUGACCUUUGAAAACAAUCAGCGUGGAGGUUCUAGCAAUUUGCUCAAUUUUUUUGUUCAUCUACCUCACAUACGAAGGCUGGAGAUUCAAAGCUAUUUUUCAAAGGUACGAUGCUCAUAGUAUCACAUUGUCAGAGCAAUUCAUAUAGAUCUGUGAAUAAUAUCUGUCCAAAGUUUUGAGCAUUUGAAGAAUUGCCCGAUGCUAGUUUUUUGCGAAUAAAUUUAAAAUGAACAACACUCUUGUGCAUGCAACUCUUGAUCUGUAAGUAUCAAAUACACUAUAUAAUGAUUUAGAGCCAUAAUUUUGUUUUCUUCUUUCUGUUCCAGUAUUUGGCAGUAGGGGUUGUGCCACCAAAGCUUCCUAGACCAUGCAUUGAUCUAAGUUUUCUUUCCAUUCGCAUAAACUUCAAUGAUUCGAAGGAAAUCUCAGCUGCUCUGUGCCUGUUACGAAGCUCACCUAAUCUACAAGAACUAGAAAUAUUGGUGAAUACUCAUUAGUCAUUAUAAGUUUAGUGUGAUUUGAUUUUGCCAGGCUAAUUAGCGGGUUCACAUAUAGAUUUUGUUAUUUAUAUGAAGUUAUUAAGCUAUAUCGAAUUUGCAAAGUUUUUUAGCUUUGAGCAGAGUUGUCUGGUCUCUUUCAAGUUCUGGAUCUAGUCUUGGGAGUUUCUUAGAUUUUUACCCUUGUGAGUUACAAUUGCUUGUAGGCUCGAACUGAGGAGGAGACUGUUCUAUUUAAACGCAACUAUUGUUGGGAAGAUGACCGGUUGAGCUGUCCAGUUCCAGUCAUGCAUUUGCGAUAUGUGAGGAUACAUGGCAUCACUGGUGUUAAAUCUGAAUUAGAUUUUAUCAGCUUUCUACUUCUACAUUCUCCUGUGCUAGAAAGGAUGACUGUGAAGGCUGUGUUAAACGGCAUGUUAGAGUUGAUGUUGAUGAAAGAACUAUUGCAGUUCAGGAGAGCUUCACCACAAGCUGAGAUUAUUUUUCAGGAAUCUUCUUAAUGCUUUUCUUUUUGGUGAAUGUAUACCAUCCCCCGACUUAUUUUGUUUGACUUACACUUAACUGAUAACUAUUUAAGUCAUGGCAUUCAAUGAUAGGAAGAAGCUAUCGUGUGUUUAAAAACAAAGCUUUAUGUACAUUUUAUGAUAGGAAGAAGCUGCUGCGAUGUUUAAUACUAAUACCUAAGCUCUCAUUACAGUUGAGAUGUUAUCAAAAAGUUUUUUC
Molecule: long non-coding RNA, 1817 nt
Organism: Gastrolobium bilobum
Lineage: Eukaryota; Viridiplantae; Streptophyta; Magnoliopsida; Fabales; Fabaceae
Exons: 3
Source: RefSeq, a predicted model, not a curated record